Non-coding RNA from Phrynosoma platyrhinos (Desert horned lizard), 71 nucleotides. Lineage: Eukaryota; Metazoa; Chordata; Lepidosauria; Squamata; Phrynosomatidae. The record is from the annotation of a GenBank genome assembly.
GCCAGUGCGGUGUAGUGGUGUGAGUGUUGGAUUAGGACUCUAGAGACCAGGGUUCAAAUCCCAGCCUGACC